This 1480-nucleotide long non-coding RNA is filed under the name Salmo salar (Atlantic salmon). RNAcentral describes it as "lncRNA (ENSSSAG00000084105.1)". The record is from RNAcentral. Lineage: Eukaryota; Metazoa; Chordata; Actinopteri; Salmoniformes; Salmonidae.
UACACCUGUACUACACCACAUGACUGAGUUACUGUACGGACAGGUUACACCUGUACUACACCACAUGACUGAGUUACUGUACGGACAGGUUACACCGUACUACACCACAUGACUGAGUUACUGUACGGACAGGUUACACCUGUACUACACCACAUGACUGAGUUACUGUACGGACAGGUUACACCUGUACUACACCACAUGACUGAGUUACUGUACGGACAGGUAACACCUGUACUACACCACAUGACUGAGUUACUGACAGGUUACACCUGUACUACACCACAUGACUGAGUUACUGUACGGACAGGUUACGCCUGUACUACACCACAUGACUGAGUUACUGUACGGACAGGUUACGCCUGUACUACACCACAUGACUGAGUUACUGUACUGACAGGUAACACCUGUACUACACUACAUGACUGAGUUACUGUACGGACAGGUUACACCUGUACUACACCACAUGACUGAGUUACUGUACGGACACAACACCUGUACUACACCACAUGACUGAGUUACUGUACGGACAGGUAACACCUGUACUACACCACAUGACUGAGUUACUGUACGGACAGGUUACACCUGUACUACACCACAUGACAUAGUUACUGUACGGACAGGUUACACCUGUACUACACCACAUGACUGAGUUACUGUAUGGACAGGUAACACCUGUACUACACCACAUGACUGAGUUACUGUACGGACAGGUUACACCUGUACUACACCACAUGACUGAGUUACUGUACGGACAGGUUACACCUGUACUACACCACAUGACUGAGUUACUGUACGGACAGGUAACACCUGUACUACACUACAUGACUGAGUUACUGUACGGACAGGUUACACCUGUACUACACCACAUGACUGAGUUACUGUACGGACACAACACCUGUACUACACCACAUGACUGAGUUACUGUACGGACAGGUAACACCUGUACUACACCACAUGACUGAGUUACUGUACGGACAGGUUACACCUGUACUACACCACAUGACUGAGUUACUGUACGGACAGGUUACACCUGUACUACACCACAUGACUGAGUUACUGUACGGACACAACACCUGUACUACACCACAUGACUGAGUUACUGUACGGACAGGUUACACCUGUACUACACCACAUGACUGAGUUACUGUACGGACAGGUUACACCUGUACUACACCACAUGACUGAGUUACUGUACGGACAGGUUACACCUGGACCUCUGGCCAGGUAAACACUAUUGCAAGUUAGUCCCAAAUGGCCCUCUAUUCCCUCGAAAGUGCGCUUCUGUUGACCAGAUUGCUACGGGUUAGUCCUACGGGCCCUGGUCUAAAGUAGUGUACUGUAUAGGAAAUGUAGUGCCAUUUUGGACACAUACCAUGUUCUGAGAACCACCUCGCUGACCGUUCACACUAGAUCCCUCCCUCCCUCCACACAGUUAGUCAGUACCUAGCUCACAGUUGAAGUCCUCCCUCCCUCCCUCCCU